ACGGGUGAGUAAUGCCUAGGAAUCUGCCUGGUAGUGGGGGACAACGUUUCGAAAGGAACGCUAAUACCGCAUACGUCCUACGGGAGAAAGCAGGGGACCUUCGGGCCUUGCGCUAUCAGAUGAGCCUAGGUCGGAUUAGCUAGUUGGUGAGGUAAUGGCUCACCAAGGCGACGAUCCGUAACUGGUCUGAGAGGAUGAUCAGUCACACUGGAACUGAGACACGGUCCAGACUCCUACGGGAGGCAGCAGUGGGGAAUAUUGGACAAUGGGCGAAAGCCUGAUCCAGCCAUGCCGCGUGUGUGAAGAAGGUCUUCGGAUUGUAAAGCACUUUAAGAUGGGAGGAAGGGUUGUAGAUUAAUACUCUGCAAUUUUGACGUUACCGACAGAAUAAGCACCGGCUAACUCUGUGCCAGCAGCCGCGGUAAUACAGAGGGUGCAAGCGUUAAUCGGAAUUACUGGGCGUAAAGCGCGCGUAGGUGGUUCGUUAAGUUGGAUGUGAAAUCCCCGGGCUCAACCUGGGAACUGCAUCCAAAACUGGCGAGCUAGAGUAUGGUAGAGGGUGGUGGAAUUUCCUGUGUAGCG
This 582-nucleotide ribosomal RNA is filed under the name uncultured Pseudomonas sp. Its description in RNAcentral is "bacterial SSU rRNA". It matches the Rfam family "Bacterial small subunit ribosomal RNA", at positions 102 to 680 of the family's 1533-position model. Lineage: Bacteria; Pseudomonadati; Pseudomonadota; Gammaproteobacteria; Pseudomonadales; Pseudomonadaceae. The record is from RNAcentral.